GGGGCGUAGCGGGUUCGAAAGGACCAGGCUCAUACUGACUUCAUUUUUCACAUUGAACGCGGGUCUUACUAAAGCAAGCCAAACUAAAAAACGAAAUCAGAAAUGGAUUCUUUUUAUUUUAAUAGCUUGACUGAAGCUAUUGGAAGCAACUGGACUCUCUCCUUAGCGAGGUCCUAGAAUAACUAGUUAGUUUGCGGUGCUACGAAAAGGUAUCAAGCUGAUUGGGGGGCUAUAGAACGAGCAUGUGUCCAAAUAUUUGGAAAAACUUCCUUUCUCGAUCGUCAUUUUCCUUUUUACCCCUCUCUUCUGGGGAGAGGGAGCUUACGACACGAUUGGAUUGAAAAGAAGUGGAUUGGGAGAGCG
RNAcentral lists this unclassified non-coding RNA (363 nucleotides) under Hevea brasiliensis (rubber tree). Lineage: Eukaryota; Viridiplantae; Streptophyta; Magnoliopsida; Malpighiales; Euphorbiaceae. The record is from RNAcentral.